CGGGCGAGAGACCGAUAG
Molecule: small nuclear RNA, 18 nt
Filed under: Arabidopsis thaliana (thale cress)
Lineage: Eukaryota; Viridiplantae; Streptophyta; Magnoliopsida; Brassicales; Brassicaceae
Description: snRNA_16506
Source: RNAcentral